This 86-nucleotide non-coding RNA is filed under the name Alligator mississippiensis (American alligator). RNAcentral's name for it is "microRNA ami-mir-181b precursor (ami-mir-181b-1)". Its record names the gene ami-mir-181b-1. It matches the Rfam family "mir-181 microRNA precursor family". From Rfam's summary of the family: In this case the mature sequence comes from the 5' arm of the precursor. The record is from miRBase by way of RNAcentral. Lineage: Eukaryota; Metazoa; Chordata; Crocodylia; Alligatoridae. RNAcentral also lists the same sequence under 1 other name.
AAGGUCACAAUCAACAUUCAUUGCUGUCGGUGGGUUUAACUAUGCGGACAAGCUCACUGAACAAUGAAUGCAACUGUGGCCCCACU